Molecule: ribosomal RNA, 280 nt
Filed under: uncultured bacterium
Lineage: Bacteria
Description: partial 16S ribosomal RNA
Rfam family: Bacterial small subunit ribosomal RNA
Source: RNAcentral
ACUCCUACGGGAGGCAGCAGUGGGAAGUAAUUGCAUCAAUGGGAAACCCGGUAGCAUGCAGCCAUGCCGCGUGUGUGAAGAAGGCCUUCGGGUUGUAAAGCACUUUCAGUAGGGAGGAAGGUAGUGUAGUUAACACCUGCACUAUUUGACGUUACCUACAGAAGAAGCACCGGCUAACUCCGUGCCAGCAGCCGCGGUAAUACGGAGGGUGCGAGCGUUAAUCGGAAUUACUGGGCGUAAAGCGCAUGCAGGCGGCCUGUUAAGUCAGAUGUGAAAGCCC